RNAcentral lists this ribosomal RNA (2923 nucleotides) under Klebsiella pneumoniae. RNAcentral's name for it is "bacterial LSU rRNA". It matches the Rfam family "Bacterial large subunit ribosomal RNA". The record is from RNAcentral. Lineage: Bacteria; Pseudomonadati; Pseudomonadota; Gammaproteobacteria; Enterobacterales; Enterobacteriaceae.
GGGUUGUGAGGUUAAGCGACUAAGCGUACACGGUGGAUGCCCUGGCAGUCAGAGGCGAUGAAGGACGUGCUAAUCUGCGAAAAGCGUCGGUAAGGUGAUAUGAACCGUUACAGCCGGCGAUGUCCGAAUGGGGAAACCCAGUGCAAUUCGUUGCACUAUCGUUAACUGAAUACAUAGGUUAACGAGGCGAACCGGGGGAACUGAAACAUCUAAGUACCCCGAGGAAAAGAAAUCAACCGAGAUUCCCCCAGUAGCGGCGAGCGAACGGGGAGCAGCCCAGAGUCUGAAUCAGCUUGUGUGUUAGUGGAACGGUCUGGAAAGUCCGACGGUACAGGGUGAUAGUCCCGUACACCAAAAUGCACAGGUUGUGAACUCGAAGAGUAGGGCGGGACACGUGGUAUCCUGUCUGAAUAUGGGGGGACCAUCCUCCAAGGCUAAAUACUCCUGACUGACCGAUAGUGAACCAGUACCGUGAGGGAAAGGCGAAAAGAACCCCGGCGAGGGGAGUGAAAAAGAACCUGAAACCGUGUACGUACAAGCAGUGGGAGCACCUUCGGGUGUGACUGCGUACCUUUUGUAUAAUGGGUCAGCGACUUAUAUUCUGUAGCAAGGUUAACCGUAUAGGGGAGCCGCAGGGAAACCGAGUCUUAACUGGGCGUUAAGUUGCAGGGUAUAGACCCGAAACCCGGUGAUCUAGCCAUGGGCAGGUUGAAGGUUGGGUAACACUAACUGGAGGACCGAACCGACUAAUGUUGAAAAAUUAGCGGAUGACUUGUGGCUGGGGGUGAAAGGCCAAUCAAACCGGGAGAUAGCUGGUUCUCCCCGAAAGCUAUUUAGGUAGCGCCUCGUGAAUUCAUCUUCGGGGGUAGAGCACUGUUUCGGCUAGGGGGUCAUCCCGACUUACCAACCCGAUGCAAACUACGAAUACCGAAGAAUGUUAUCACGGGAGACACACGGCGGGUGCUAACGUCCGUCGUGAAGAGGGAAACAACCCAGACCGCCAGCUAAGGUCCCAAAGUCAUGGUUAAGUGGGAAACGAUGUGGGAAGGCACAGACAGCCAGGAUGUUGGCUUAGAAGCAGCCAUCAUUUAAAGAAAGCGUAAUAGCUCACUGGUCGAGUCGGCCUGCGCGGAAGAUGUAACGGGGCUAAACCAUGCACCGAAGCUGCGGCAGCGACACUAUGUGUUGUUGGGUAGGGGAGCGUUCUGUAAGCCUGCGAAGGUGACCUGUGAGGGUUGCUGGAGGUAUCAGAAGUGCGAAUGCUGACAUAAGUAACGAUAAAGCGGGUGAAAAGCCCGCUCGCCGGAAGACCAAGGGUUCCUGUCCAACGUUAAUCGGGGCAGGGUGAGUCGACCCCUAAGGCGAGGCCGAAAGGCGUAGUCGAUGGGAAACAGGUUAAUAUUCCUGUACUUGGUGUUACUGCGAAGGGGGGACGGAGAAGGCUAUGUUAGCCGGGCGACGGUUGUCCCGGUUUAAGCAUGUAGGCUGGUUGUCCAGGCAAAUCCGGAUAAUCAAGGCUGAGGUGUGAUGACGAGGCACUACGGUGCUGAAGUAACAAAUGCCCUGCUUCCAGGAAAAGCCUCUAAGCAUCAGGUAACAUCAAAUCGUACCCCAAACCGACACAGGUGGUCAGGUAGAGAAUACCAAGGCGCUUGAGAGAACUCGGGUGAAGGAACUAGGCAAAAUGGUGCCGUAACUUCGGGAGAAGGCACGCUGGUGUGUAGGUGAAGUCCCUGCGGAUGGAGCUGAGACCAGUCGAAGAUACCAGCUGGCUGCAACUGUUUAUUAAAAACACAGCACUGUGCAAACACGAAAGUGGACGUAUACGGUGUGACGCCUGCCCGGUGCCGGAAGGUUAAUUGAUGGGGUUAUCCGUAAGGAGAAGCUCUUGAUCGAAGCCCCGGUAAACGGCGGCCGUAACUAUAACGGUCCUAAGGUAGCGAAAUUCCUUGUCGGGUAAGUUCCGACCUGCACGAAUGGCGUAAUGAUGGCCAGGCUGUCUCCACCCGAGACUCAGUGAAAUUGAACUCGCUGUGAAGAUGCAGUGUACCCGCGGCAAGACGGAAAGACCCCGUGAACCUUUACUAUAGCUUGACACUGAACAUUGAGCCUUGAUGUGUAGGAUAGGUGGGAGGCUUUGAAGCGUGGACGCCAGUCUGCGUGGAGCCAACCUUGAAAUACCACCCUUUAAUGUUUGAUGUUCUAACGUUGGCCCCUUACCGGGGUUGCGGACAGUGUCUGGUGGGUAGUUUGACUGGGGCGGUCUCCUCCCAAAGCGUAACGGAGGAGCACGAAGGUUAGCUAAUCCUGGUCGGACAUCAGGAGGUUAGUGCAAUGGCAUAAGCUAGCUUGACUGCGAGCGUGACGGCGCGAGCAGGUGCGAAAGCAGGUCAUAGUGAUCCGGUGGUUCUGAAUGGAAGGGCCAUCGCUCAACGGAUAAAAGGUACUCCGGGGAUAACAGGCUGAUACCGCCCAAGAGUUCAUAUCGACGGCGGUGUUUGGCACCUCGAUGUCGGCUCAUCACAUCCUGGGGCUGAAGUAGGUCCCAAGGGUAUGGCUGUUCGCCAUUUAAAGUGGUACGCGAGCUGGGUUUAGAACGUCGUGAGACAGUUCGGUCCCUAUCUGCCGUGGGCGCUGGAGAAUUGAGGGGGGCUGCUCCUAGUACGAGAGGACCGGAGUGGACGCAUCACUGGUGUUCGGGUUGUCAUGCCAAUGGCACUGCCCGGUAGCUAAAUGCGGAAGAGAUAAGUGCUGAAAGCAUCUAAGCACGAAACUUGCCCCGAGAUGAGUUCUCCCUGAGACUUUAAGUCUCCUGAAGGAACGUUAAAGACGAUGACGUUGAUAGGCCGGGUGUGUAAGCGCAGCGAUGCGUUGAGCUAACCGGUACUAAUGAACCGUGAGGCUUAACCUUACAACGCCGAAG